GUUUUUUAAUUAAAAACUAGAAUGAAAGGUUAUACACUCAAAUUUCUUUAUUAAUUUUUAAUAAAUAAUUUAUAUUAAAUAUAAAAAUAUAUUUAUGAAAAAAAAAGACGACAAGACCCUAUUAAAUUUUACUUAUAGUUUAGCUGGGGAAGCUUUUCAAUUAAAAUUUUUUAAAAUCUUAAAAUAAAUAUCUAAUUUAAAUUAAAAUUUAAAUAAAUUACUAUAGGGAUAACAGCAUUAUAUUUUUUAAAAGUUCAUAUUAAAAAAAAUGAUUGUGACCUCGAUGUUGAAUUAUAUUUUCUAUAUUUAAUGCAAUAAUUAUAAAAGUAGAUCUGUUCGAUCUUUAAAAUAUUACAUGAUUUGAGUUCAAACCGGUGUAAACCAGGUUGGUUUCUAUCUUUUUAUAUAUUUUUCCAGUACGAAAGGACAAAAAAAUUUUUAUUUUAAUAAAUUAGCAAAUAUAAUGCAUUAGAUUUAGAAUCUAAAUAUAUUUAA
Molecule: ribosomal RNA, 495 nt
Filed under: Anelosimus studiosus
Lineage: Eukaryota; Metazoa; Arthropoda; Arachnida; Araneae; Theridiidae
Description: partial 16S ribosomal RNA
Rfam family: Bacterial large subunit ribosomal RNA (bases 102-402)
Source: RNAcentral